AUUGAACGCUGGCGGCAUGCUUUACACAUGCAAGUCGAACGGUAACAGGUUAAGCUGACGAGUGGCGAACGGGUGAGUAAUGCAUCGGAACGUGCCCGAUCGUGGGGGAUAACGCAGCGAAAGCUGCGCUAAUACCGCAUACGAUCUGAGGAUGAAAGCGGGGGACCGUAAGGCCUCGCGCGAUCGGAGCGGCCGAUGUCAGAUUAGGUAGUUGGUGGGGUAAAGGCUCACCAAGCCAACGAUCUGUAGCUGGUCUGAGAGGACGACCAGCCACACUGGGACUGAGCCACGGCCCAGACUCCGACGGGAGGCAGCAGUGGGGAAUUUUGGACAAUGGGCGAAAGCCUGAUCCAGCAAUGCCGCGUGCAGGAAGAAGGCCUUCGGGUUGUAAACUGCUUUUGUACGGAGCGAAAAGGCUCUCUCUAAUACAGGGGGCUCAUGACGGUACCGUAAGAAUAAGCACCGGCAAACUACGUGCCAGCCGCCGCCGUAA
RNAcentral lists this ribosomal RNA (493 nucleotides) under uncultured bacterium. RNAcentral describes it as "partial 16S ribosomal RNA". It matches the Rfam family "Bacterial small subunit ribosomal RNA", at positions 29 to 523 of the family's 1533-position model. The record is from RNAcentral.